AAAUAAUGCUGUUUUGAUAUUGUAUAAAUAGAUAUAUAUUUUCUAAACUGUUCUAAGAACCCUGUGUCAUUAAAACUUGAUUAGCCAGCUCUUCUCUUUUAUUUGCUCUGUGGACAUUUUGUCCAUGCUGUGUGUAAAGAUGUCCAGCAGUCUCCAGAUGCAGUCUUCUGUCAUCCUGAUGGUAUUGUUCAGUUAACAUGCAGCCAUCAAAUCAAGAGCUAUGACACGAUAUUAUGGUAUCAGCGCUCGACUGGGGACACGGAACUGAAACUUCUAGCUUAUAUGUACUAUACAACUCCAAAGACUGAAGAUCCGUAUGUAAAUCACUUUAAUGUAUCAGGUGAUGGUGAAAAAGAUUCUUCUCUUCAUAUAAAAUGUAGCAGACAAGUCGACAUCACAGCUAUGUAUUACUGCGCUGCCAGUAUCACACAGUGCUGCAAGAGUUCAGCACUCUUUACAAUUACCUUCCUCUUAUUAGAAACCCCGUAAACACCUGCACAGACCAGCACUGGCUCACAUUCAUUUGCUGAUCACUGACAGUUCCUGGUGCCAAAGCAAGUGCUUCUUUGUAGAGAGCUAGAGACACCACCCUUCAAUAGACUUUAUUUGUAGGAGGUGCAGCAUUCCCCAUAAGUCAUUUGCAUCUCGUAGUGUGGUAUGAAUCUGAUUUCCCUCCAUACCUGGCCUUUGACAUACACCCACACAGAACAUCAACAUGAGAGGAUCUCUUGUUUCUUCAACCACCGUGAUCUGUUUCAUAGGUGUUGUGUUUUCUAAUAAGGUUGAUCAAAAUCCUUCUGCAAUUUUUUGGAGUCCUGAAAGUCCGUCUGAAAUCGCCUGUCACCAUCAAAUACCUACUCAUGACACUUUACUGUGGUACCAGCGCUCCCUGAAAGACACUGAGCUGAAACUCAUUGGUUAUGUGUAUUAUGAACAAAUAACUAUUGAGAAACCAUUUGAGAAGCAUUUCAAUGUGAGCGGUCAUGGUAAAACAAACUCUAAACUUCAUCUUAUCCAGCUGAGAAAAUCUGAAGACAGCGCUGUGUACUACUGUGCUGCUUAUUACCACAGUGCUGUUUCCUCCCUUUCCAUUAAACAAAAACCCACCUUUAAUACUCACAUUGCUUUGCACAGAUGUCACAUGAUUUGGUACAUGAUACAUAUUUUAUUUUCUUCCUUUUUGAUAACAAUGUUCCCCCACAGAAUCAACAUAACAAGGUCUUUGAAAAUCAACAUAUACAUUAUUUCAUUAUUUAAUGAUUGGGCAAACACAAUAGCAAUAACAAUAGCCAAGCAACCAGUCAACAGAACAAAAC
This 1316-nucleotide long non-coding RNA is filed under the name Carassius auratus (goldfish). Its description in RNAcentral is "lncRNA (ENSCARG00000003681.1)". The record is from RNAcentral. Lineage: Eukaryota; Metazoa; Chordata; Actinopteri; Cypriniformes; Cyprinidae.